UUAGUGGCGGACGGGUGAGUAACGCGUGAGUAACCUACCUUUCAGAGGGGGAUAACGUCUGGAAACGGACGAUAAUACCGCAUAACAUUUCGAGGUCACAUGGCUUUGAAAUCAAAGGAGCAAUCCGCUGAAAGAUGGACUCGCGUCCGAUUAGCUAGUUGGUGAGAUAAUAGCCCACCAAGGCGACGAUCGGUAGCCGGGUUGAGAGACUGAACGGCCACAUUGGGACUGAGACACGGCCCAGACUCCUACGGGAGGCAGCAGUGGGGGAUAUUGCACAAUGGAGGAAACUCUGAUGCAGCGACGCCGCGUGAGGGAAGAAGGUUUUCGGAUUGUAAACCUCUGUCUUCGGGGACGAAACAAAUGACGGUACUCGAGGAGGAAGCCACGGCCAACUACGUGCCAGCAGCCGCGGUAAUACGUAGGUGGCAAGCGUUGUCCGGAAUUACUGGGUGUAAAGGGUGCGUAGGCGGCUUAGCAAGUCAGGCGUGAAAACUAUGGGCUUAACCCAUAGACUGCGUUUGAAACUGCUGAGCUUGAGUGAAGUAGAGGUAGGCGGAAUUCCCGGUGUAGCGGUGAAAUGCGUAGAGAUCGGGAGGAACACCAGUGGCGAAGGCGG
This 619-nucleotide ribosomal RNA is filed under the name uncultured Eubacteriales bacterium. RNAcentral describes it as "bacterial SSU rRNA". It matches the Rfam family "Bacterial small subunit ribosomal RNA", at positions 92 to 724 of the family's 1533-position model. The record is from RNAcentral. Lineage: Bacteria; Bacillati; Bacillota; Clostridia; Eubacteriales.